UAACUGGUGGCGACCGGCGUCACGGGUGCGUAACACGUAUACAAUCUACCUUAAACAGGGGGGAUUAGCCUUUCGAAAAGAGAGAUUAAUACCCCGUAAUAAAUUGAACGGCAUCGUUUGAUUUUGAAAGCUCCGGCGGUUUGAGAUGAGUAUGCGUCUGAUUAGCUAGUUGGUGAGGUAACGGCUCACCAAGGCGACGAUCAGUAGGGGACCUGAGAGGACUAACCCCCACACUGGUACUGAGACACGGACCAGACUCCUACGGGAGGCAGCAGUAAGGAAUAUUGGUCAAUGGAGGCAACUCUGAACCAGCCAUGCCGCGUGCAGGAUGACGGCCCUAUGGGUUGUAAACUGCUUUUAUACAAGAGAAAACCCUGGUACGUGUACCAAGUUGAUAGUAUUGUAAGAAUAAGCAUCGGCUAACUUCGUG
RNAcentral lists this ribosomal RNA (430 nucleotides) under uncultured bacterium. Its description in RNAcentral is "bacterial SSU rRNA". It matches the Rfam family "Bacterial small subunit ribosomal RNA", at positions 81 to 507 of the family's 1533-position model. The record is from RNAcentral.